RNAcentral lists this ribosomal RNA (468 nucleotides) under uncultured bacterium. RNAcentral's name for it is "partial 16S ribosomal RNA". It matches the Rfam family "Bacterial small subunit ribosomal RNA", at positions 28 to 507 of the family's 1533-position model. The record is from RNAcentral.
GACGAACGCUGGCGGCGUGCUUAACACAUGCAAGUCGAGCGGAAAGGCCCUGCUUUUGUGGGGUGCUCGAGUGGCGAACGGGUGAGUAACACGUUAGUAACCUGCCCUUGACUUUGGGAUAACUUCAGGAAACUGGGGCUAAUAACGGAUAGGAGCUCCUGCUGCAGGGUGGGGGUGGGAAAGUUUCGGCGGUUGGGGAUGGACUCGCGGCUUAUCAGCUUGUUGGUGGGGUAGUGGCUUACCAAGGCUUUGACGGGUAGCCGGCCUGCGAGGGUGACCGGCCACAUUGGGACUGGGAUACGGCCCAGCCUCCUACGGGAGGCAGCGGUGGAGAAUAUUGCACAAUGGGCGGAAGCCUGAUGCAGCAACGCCGCGUGCGGGAUGACGGCCUUCGGGUUGUAAACCGCUUUCGCCUGUGACGAAGCGUGAGUGACGGUAAUGGGUAAAGAAGCACCGGCUAACUACGUG